GAUGAACGCUGACAGAAUGCUUAACACAUGCAAGUCUUUGGCGAAGCUGUGCUUGCACAGCCUAGCCAAGGCGGACGGGUGAGUAACGCGUAAGGGACUUGCCCUGCAGUCAGGGAUAACAGACGGAAACGACUGAUAAAACCUGAUAAAGUCAGGCGGACUCAUGUCCAGCCUGAUGAAAAGGAAUGCUGCAGGAGAGCCUUGCGUCCUAUUAGCUUGUUGGUGGGGUAACGGCCCACCAAGGCGAUGAUAGGUAGCCGGCCUGAGAGGGUGGACGGCCACAAGGGGACUGAGAUACGGCCCUUACUCCUACGGGAGGCAGCAGUGGGGAAUAUUGGACAAUGGGGGCAACCCUGAUCCAGCAAUUCUGUGUGCACGAUGAAGGUCUUCGGAUUGUAAAGUGCUUUCAGCAGGGAAGAAA
This 421-nucleotide ribosomal RNA is filed under the name Leptotrichia wadei. Its description in RNAcentral is "bacterial SSU rRNA". It matches the Rfam family "Bacterial small subunit ribosomal RNA", at positions 28 to 450 of the family's 1533-position model. The record is from RNAcentral. Lineage: Bacteria; Fusobacteriati; Fusobacteriota; Fusobacteriia; Fusobacteriales; Leptotrichiaceae.